AAGUUAAAAUUUAGUGGGAUUUAUAAAUAUUACUAAAUAAGUAAAAAAUGUAACUAAAUCUUUUAGCAACACUUAACUUUUAGUGUUGCCAAUGCCUGUGUUGUUGAAUCUUUUAGCAACAUAUGGAAAAAGUGUUGCUGAUGCUCAAGAAUUAGCAACAGUUAACAAAUGUUGCUAAAUAAAAAUUUUAAAUGGGCAACAAUUAAAUGGUGGUGCUUAUUGUUUAAUUAAUUCUUGUAUUAAUUUAGCUAUUAUUUUUUAAAUUAAAUAAAAAUAUUUCAUUAAUUAUAAUUUUUGAUAUUAAUUAAAUUAAAAUAUUAUUACUUUUUGAUUAAUUAUUAUAAUCACAGUUAAUAAUAAUCAAAUAUUACUAAACAAUCACAUAUAAUAGUAUUUUGAAUUAUUGGUAAAAGUAUUUAUUAUAUUAAUAUUAAUUAAUUAUUAUUUAAAAAAUUUAUGAUUAAUCGGUAAUAAUCGAAUAUAUUUAAAAAAAUAAUUACAACUAUAAUAAAAAAAUUCUACUAGUUCUAUA
Molecule: long non-coding RNA, 532 nt
Filed under: Ananas comosus (pineapple)
Lineage: Eukaryota; Viridiplantae; Streptophyta; Magnoliopsida; Poales; Bromeliaceae
Description: long non-coding RNA (ACOM_LNC024272)
Source: RNAcentral